AUUGAACGCUGGCGGCAGGCCUAACACAUGCAAGUCGAGCGGAUGAAGGGAGCUUGCUCCUGGAUUCAGCGGCGGACGGGUGAGUAAUGCCUAGGAAUCUGCCUGGUAGUGGGGAUAACGUCCGGAAACGGGGGCUAAUACCGCAUACGUCCCGAGGGAGAAAGUGGGGGAUCUUCGGACCUCACGCUAUCAGAUGAACCUAGGUCGGAUUAGCUAGUUGGUGGGGUAAAGGCCUACCAAGGCGACGAUCCGUAACUGGUCUGAGAGGAUGAUCAGUCACACUGGAACUGAGACACGGUCCAGACUCCUACGGGAGGCAGCAGUGGGGAAUAUUGGACAAUGGGCGAAAGCCUGAUCCAGCCAUGCCGCGUGUGUGAAGAAGGUCUUCGGAUUGUAAAGCACUUUAAGUUGGGAGGAAGGGCAGUAAGUUAAUACCUUGCUGUUUUGACGUUACCAACAGAAUAAGCACCGGCUAACUUCGUG
RNAcentral lists this ribosomal RNA (483 nucleotides) under uncultured bacterium. Its description in RNAcentral is "partial 16S ribosomal RNA". It matches the Rfam family "Bacterial small subunit ribosomal RNA", at positions 30 to 507 of the family's 1533-position model. The record is from RNAcentral.